AACAUAUAUUAAUCCUACAUAAGGAUCUAAAUAUAAUAUAUAUAGCAUGCAUUUAAAUUUAAAAUUUAAACUUCUACAGUAAACGUUUUACUGUUAUGUGUUCAGAACACAUUGCCUUCGCGCAGGUAGUCGAUCGCCGCAGUCUGAUCACCGUCGGGAUGGUCUAAUCAUCGUAAUAUAGCCACACAGUAUGUCUAGCCUCUACGGAUCGUCCACACAAAGCUCCUGAUC
This 231-nucleotide long non-coding RNA is filed under the name Elaeis guineensis (African oil palm). Its description in RNAcentral is "long non-coding RNA (EGUI_LNC046443)". Lineage: Eukaryota; Viridiplantae; Streptophyta; Magnoliopsida; Arecales; Arecaceae. The record is from RNAcentral.